GACGAACGCUGGCGGCGUGCUUAACACAUGCAAGUCGAACGGUGAAGGGGUCUGCUUUUGUGGGCCCUGGAUGAGUGGCGAACGGGUGAGUAACACGUGAGUAACCUGCCCCCUUCUUCUGGAUAACCGCAUGAAAGUGUGGCUAAUACGGGAUAUUCUGGGUCUGUCGCAUGAUGGGUCUGGGAAAGAUUGCGCCUUUGGGUGUUUUUGGUGGGGGAUGGGCUCGCGGCCUAUCAGCUUGUUGGUGGGGUGAUGGCCUACCAAGGAGGUGACGGGUAGCCGGCCGGAGGGGGUGGACGGUCACACUGGGACUGAGACACGGCCCAGACUCCUACGGGAGGCAGCAGUGGGGAAUAUUGCACAAGGGGCGCAAGCCUGAUGCAGCGACGCCGCGUGAGGGAUGGAGGCCUUCGGGUUGUAAACCUCUUUCGCCAGUGAAGCAGGCCUGCUCCUUGUGGGUGGGUUGACGGUAGCUGGAGAAGAAGCGCCGGCUAACUACGUG
This 502-nucleotide ribosomal RNA is filed under the name uncultured bacterium. RNAcentral describes it as "partial 16S ribosomal RNA". It matches the Rfam family "Bacterial small subunit ribosomal RNA", at positions 28 to 507 of the family's 1533-position model. The record is from RNAcentral.